RNAcentral lists this ribosomal RNA (254 nucleotides) under uncultured bacterium. RNAcentral describes it as "partial 16S ribosomal RNA". It matches the Rfam family "Bacterial small subunit ribosomal RNA", at positions 524 to 777 of the family's 1533-position model. The record is from RNAcentral.
UACGAAGGGGGCUAGCGUUGCUCGGAAUCACUGGGCGUAAAGCGCACGUAGGCGGCUUUCUAAGUCAGGGGUGAAAUCCUGGAGCUCAACUCCAGAACUGCCUUUGAUACUGGAGAGCUUGAGUCCGGAAGAGGUGAGUGGAACUCCGAGUGUAGAGGUGAAAUUCGUAGAUAUUCGGAAGAACACCAGUGGCGAAGGCGGCUCACUGGUCCGGUACUGACGCUGAUGUGCGAAAGCGUGGGGAGCAAACAGGG